RNAcentral lists this long non-coding RNA (237 nucleotides) under Lathyrus oleraceus (garden pea). RNAcentral describes it as "Pisum sativum (pea) long non-coding RNA (PSAT_LNC024529)". Lineage: Eukaryota; Viridiplantae; Streptophyta; Magnoliopsida; Fabales; Fabaceae. The record is from RNAcentral.
UUUUAAAGUGCCCCUUGAGAAAUUUGAUCAAUUGAUGAGGAAGCUUGUUGAAGAAGUUACUCAAGAUACCCAUACAAACUAGGAUUUCCAAGGCAAACCAACUCCAAACUCUUGAAGAAAUCUUGAUCAGAAUAACAUGCAAAGAUCAUUGGGACUCAUAUAUGAUGUUUAAAGACAUUGUGGAUCAUUCCUUGAUUGUGCUCUUAGCUAUGAGGCUUGCCAUACCCCAAAAUUCAC